This 480-nucleotide ribosomal RNA is filed under the name uncultured bacterium. Its description in RNAcentral is "bacterial SSU rRNA". It matches the Rfam family "Bacterial small subunit ribosomal RNA", at positions 903 to 1397 of the family's 1533-position model. The record is from RNAcentral.
AAAUGAAUUGACGGGGACCCGCACAAGCGGUGGAGCGUGUUCUUUAAUUCGAUGUUAAGCGAAGAACCUUACCAGGGCUUGACAUCCCGAGAAAUUCUGGGAAACUAGAAUGUGCCUUUUGGAACUCGGUGACAGGUGUUGCAUGGCCGUCGUCAGCUCGUGUCGUGAGAUGUUUGGUUAAGUCCAUCAACGAGCGCAACCCUUAUGAUUAGUUGUAUUUUUCUAAUCAGACUGCCUCGGUAACGGGGAGGAAGGAGGGGAUGAUGUCAGGUCAUUAUUACCCUUACGUCCUGGGCUAGAAACGCGCUACAAUGGCUGGUACAAAGGGCUGCCAACCCGCAAGGGGGAGCAAAUCCCAUCAAAGCCAGUCCCAGUUCGGAUUGCAGGCUGAAAUUCGCCUGCAUGAAGUCGGAAUCGCUAGUAAUCGUAGGUCAGCACACUACGGUGAAUCCGUUCCCGGGUCUUGUACACACCGCCCGU